CGGACGGGUGAGUAACGCGUGAGAAUCUGCCUCCAGGUCGGGGACAACAGCGGGAAACUGCUGCUAAUCCCGGAUAAGCCCUAGGGUAAAAGAUUUAUUGCCUGGAGAGGAGCUCGCGUCCGAUUAGCUAGAUGGUGAGGUAAGAGCUCACCAUGGCGACGAUCGGUAGCUGUUCUGAGAGGAAGAUCAGCCACACUGGGACUGAGACACGGCCCAGACUCCUACGGGAGGCAGCAGUGGGGAAUUUUCCGCAAUGGGCGAAAGCCUGACGGAGCAAGACCGCGUGCGGGAAGAAGGCCCUUGGGUCGUAAACCGCUUUUCUUAGGGAAGAAGCUCUGACGGUACCUAAGGAAUCAGCCUCGGCUAACUCCGUGCCAGCAGCCGCGGUAAUACGGAGGAGGCAAGCGUUAUCCGGAAUUAUUGGGCGUAAAGCGUCCGCAGGCGGCUUAUCAAGUCUGCUGUCAAAGACUGGGGCUCAACCCUGGGGAGGCAGUGGAAACUGAGAAGCUAGAGUGCAGCAGGGGUAGAGGGAAUUCCCAGUGUAGCAGUGAAAUGCGUAGAGAUUGGGAAGAACACCGGUGGCGAAAGCGCUCUACUGGGCUGCAACUGACGCUGAGGGACGAAAGCUAGGGGAGCGAAAGGGAUUAGAUACCCCUGUAGU
Molecule: ribosomal RNA, 661 nt
Filed under: uncultured cyanobacterium
Lineage: Bacteria; Bacillati; Cyanobacteriota
Description: bacterial SSU rRNA
Rfam family: Bacterial small subunit ribosomal RNA
Source: RNAcentral